GACGUGCCGAGUAUGCAGGUGGUGAAAAAACGAGAGGAGGUGCCAUGGAUGGGAAUGUACGGAUUAUUAUUAAGAAUGUGAUUAAUAUGGGUUUAAUUGAUGUUUGUCAUGGUGUU
RNAcentral lists this non-coding RNA (116 nucleotides) under Ditylum brightwellii. Lineage: Eukaryota; Bacillariophyta; Thalassiosirophyceae; Lithodesmiales; Lithodesmiaceae. The record is from RNAcentral.